Molecule: ribosomal RNA, 505 nt
Filed under: uncultured bacterium
Lineage: Bacteria
Description: bacterial SSU rRNA
Rfam family: Bacterial small subunit ribosomal RNA
Source: RNAcentral
AUUGAACGCUGGCGGCAUGCCUUACACAUGCAAGUCGAACGGUAACAGGUCUUCGGAUGCUGACGAGUGGCGAACGGGUGAGUAAUACAUCGGAACGUGCCCGAUCGUGGGGGAUAACGCAGCGAAAGCUGUGCUAAUACCGCAUACGAUCUACGGAUGAAAGCGGGGGAUCGCAAGACCUCGCGCGGACGGAGCGGCCGAUGGCAGAUUAGGUAGUUGGUGGGAUAAAAGCUUACCAAGCCGACGAUCUGUAGCUGGUCUGAGAGGACGACCAGCCACACUGGGACUGAGACACGGCCCAGACUCCUACGGGAGGCAGCAGUGGGGAAUUUUGGACAAUGGGGAAACCCUGAUCCAGCCAUGCCGCGUGCAGGAUGAAGGCCUUCGGGUUGUAAACUGCUUUUGUACGGUAACGAAAAGGUACCUUUCUAAUUAAAGAAGGGCUCAUGACGGUACCGUAAGAAUAAGACACCGGCUAACUACGUGCCAGCAGCCGCGGUAACGC